This 828-nucleotide ribosomal RNA is filed under the name Microbacterium sp. HCA2-6_Pa. RNAcentral's name for it is "bacterial SSU rRNA". It matches the Rfam family "Bacterial small subunit ribosomal RNA", at positions 57 to 896 of the family's 1533-position model. Lineage: Bacteria; Bacillati; Actinomycetota; Actinomycetes; Micrococcales; Microbacteriaceae. The record is from RNAcentral.
GCAGUCGAACGGUGAAGCCCAGCUUGCUGGGUGGAUCAGUGGCGAACGGGUGAGUAACACGUGAGCAACCUGCCCCUGACUCUGGGAUAAGCGCUGGAAACGGCGUCUAAUACUGGAUAUGUACCACGAUCGCAUGGUCUGUGGUUGGAAAGAUUUUUCGGUUGGGGAUGGGCUCGCGGCCUAUCAGCUUGUUGGUGAGGUAAUGGCUCACCAAGGCGUCGACGGGUAGCCGGCCUGAGAGGGUGACCGGCCACACUGGGACUGAGACACGGCCCAGACUCCUACGGGAGGCAGCAGUGGGGAAUAUUGCACAAUGGGCGCAAGCCUGAUGCAGCAACGCCGCGUGAGGGAUGACGGCCUUCGGGUUGUAAACCUCUUUUAGCAGGGAAGAAGCGAAAGUGACGGUACCUGCAGAAAAAGCGCCGGCUAACUACGUGCCAGCAGCCGCGGUAAUACGUAGGGCGCAAGCGUUAUCCGGAAUUAUUGGGCGUAAAGAGCUCGUAGGCGGUUUGUCGCGUCUGCUGUGAAAUCCGGAGGCUCAACCUCCGGCCUGCAGUGGGUACGGGCAGACUAGAGUGCGGUAGGGGAGAUUGGAAUUCCUGGUGUAGCGGUGGAAUGCGCAGAUAUCAGGAGGAACACCGAUGGCGAAGGCAGAUCUCUGGGCCGUAACUGACGCUGAGGAGCGAAAGGGUGGGGAGCAAACAGGCUUAGAUACCCUGGUAGUCCACCCCGUAAACGUUGGGAACUAGUUGUGGGGUCCAUUCCACGGAUUCCGUGACGCAGCUAACGCAUUAAGUUCCCCGCCUGGGGAGUACGGCCGCAAGGCUA